This is a long non-coding RNA of Gallus gallus (chicken), 1230 nucleotides long. Lineage: Eukaryota; Metazoa; Chordata; Aves; Galliformes; Phasianidae. The record is from Ensembl.
GUGAACUUCCACAACGCCCCGAUCCUGCUUCUCAGGGGUGUCUUUGGUUGUGGCUAGUUUGUUUGCAUUGAGGUAUUCACUGAGAAACAGUGGGAUGUGUCCUCCUCUGCGGACUUUGGCUGAGACUCUUCCCUCCAGCACAGCAGCAUUCUGCAUGCAAGAUUGGGUUAGAGGCCCUCUGAUAUGGGAGCGGUAAAACAGAGCUACGAAAGGCGUGUGCCCUGGGAGUAGUUUGCAGCCUCUGCCAGGGAGAUGCCAGGACACAGUGGAAAAGGAUGACGGUGGAAAUAAUGUGAACGUGCUUUCCUGUGAGUAUGACAGAGCGCAUAAUUAGGAGCCUUCUGUAUAUUUUAUUGUAGCAGUGCAGUAGACAAAGAAAUAAUAAGGCAUCCAUGAAAACUUGAGGCAGUUUGCUGGUGUUAAUGCAGUAGAGUUCUUAGAGAAGGACUUGAAGUUUCAGGAUAAAAUUGGGGCAGGAAAAAAAGGUAUUACGUGAUGUUUCUUCUACCCUUUGCAGCUGCCUUCUUGCAGAGACGGGUACUUGGCAGUGGGGUGGAAUGAGAUUAAGAAUGGGUAAACUUAUUUGGAAUGUUUGCUUUAUUUAACGUGAUUAUUUGCUUCCAAAUUUUAUCUACUGUGUUCUAAAUGCACGUGGUGCUUCCAAAGAGAUGGUUAAGCUCAGAUGAAGACGAAACAAGACAGUGAAUUUUUUUGGCAUCUUAAACAUUCUGUGAGUUGGAUGCUGUCUCAGAUGUUGGGAGCUGAGGUGUGAAACCAGCUUUGGUGCAGAUCCAGCAUCCCCCCCAGGGAAACACUGGCAGAAAAGCAUGUGAGUUACCAUCACAGCUGCGUCCUACUGUGUAUGGGACUGUUGAAUCACGGCCUAAACCUCUGAUUGACCACCUGAGGCGAGCACUGAGUCAGCCCUGGGAGCACAGCUGAAGGCAAUCCAGCUGUGGGACCAGAAGGGUGGAGCCAGGCUGCACCUCUCCUAGACCUCAUUUAAGGGCUGACUGCCCAUAGGGAAGGAUCUCUCCCUGGAGAUUGCUCCUUGUGGAGUUUUUUGUGAGCCUACAACACUGGUGAGCACCUUUCAUUUAUAUCUGAUUAUCUUUUCUAACACAGUGAUCUUACCAGUCUGUCUUCUCUGUAUGCUGUAUAACGUCUGUAUGCUUACUAACCAUACAUGCUGCCACUGGGGUUCUCUGAGAGAGCAUCAUUUUAGAAGGG